Molecule: ribosomal RNA, 443 nt
Filed under: uncultured bacterium
Lineage: Bacteria
Description: partial 16S ribosomal RNA
Rfam family: Bacterial small subunit ribosomal RNA
Source: RNAcentral
CCUACGGGGGGCAGCAGUGGGGAAUAUUGGACAAUGGGGGGAACCCUGAUCCAGCGACGCCGCGUGAGUGAAGAAGUAUUUCGGUAUGUAAAGCUCUAUCAGCAGGGAAGAAAGAAAUGACGGUACAUGACUAAGAAGCCCCGGCUAACUACGUGCCAGCAGCCGCGGUAAUACGGAGGGGGCAAGCGUUAUCCGGAUUUACUGGGUGAAAAGGGAGCGUAGACGGCGAUGCAAGUCUGAAGUGAAAGGCAGGGGCCCAACCUCCGGACUGCUUUGGAAACUGUAUGGCUGGAGUGCAGGAGAGGUAAGUGGAAUUCCUAGUGUAGCGGUGAAAUGCGUAGAUAUUAGGAGGAACACCAGUGGCGAAGGCGGCUUACUGGACUGUAACUGACGUUGAGGCUCGAAAGCGUGGGGAGCAAACAGGAUUAGAUACCCGGGUAGUC